GCAGUCGAACGGACUAUUUUGAAGAGUAAUCGGAUUGAUAGUUAGUGGCGAAAGGGUGAGGAACAGGUAGGUAACGUACCUUUGGCUUCGGGAUAGCUCAUCGAAAGGUGGGGUAAUACCGGAUGAUGUCAUCUGUUUAAUUCAGAUGACCAAAGAUUUAUCGGCCAUUGAGCGGCCUAUCUCCUAUCAGCUUGUUGGUGAGGUAACGGCUCACCAAGGCGACGACGGGUAGCGGGACUGAGAGGUUGGUCCGCCACAUCGGAACUGAGACACUGUCCGGACCUCCACGGAGGGCUGCAGUAACGAAUAUUGGGCAAUGGGCGAAAGCCUGACCCAGCAAUGCCGCGUGUAGGAUGAAGCCCCUCGGGGUGUAAACUACUUUCAGGGAUUAGAAAGCUUCGGCUGAUCAGUCCCAGAAGAAGUCACGGCUAACUUCGUGCCAGCAGCCGCGGUAAGACGAAGGUGGCAAGCGUUAUUCGAAAUCACUGGGCUUAAAGGGCGCGUAGGCGGAAUUGUUAGUGUCAGGUGAAAUCCCCCGGCUUAACCGGGGAAUUGCUUGGCAAACUGCAAUUCUUGAGGCAAGUAGGGGUGUGUGGAACUCUUGGUGGAGCGGUGGAAUGCGUAGAUAUCAAGAGGAACGCCGAAGGUGAAGACAGCACACUGGACUUGUUCUGACGCUGAGGCGCGAAAGCGUGGGGAGCGAACAGGAUUAGAUACCCUGGUAGUCCACGCCGUAAACGAUGUGUACUAGGUCGCGGAGGUUCUGACACCGUCGCGGUCGUAGCAAA
RNAcentral lists this ribosomal RNA (788 nucleotides) under uncultured bacterium. RNAcentral describes it as "bacterial SSU rRNA". It matches the Rfam family "Bacterial small subunit ribosomal RNA", at positions 57 to 855 of the family's 1533-position model. The record is from RNAcentral.